GGAGGAAAGCAGGGGAUCGCAAGACCUUGCGCUUUUGGAGUGGCCGAUGCCUGAUUAGCUAGUUGGUGGGGUAAUGGCCUGCCAAGGCGACGAUCAGUAGUUGGUCUGAGAGGACGACCAGCCACACUGGGACUGAGACACGGCCCAGACUCCUACGGGAGGCAGCAGUGGGGAAUUUUGGACAAUGGGCGAAAGCCUGAUCCAGCAAUGCCGCGUGAGUGAAGAAGGCCUUCGGAUUGUAAAGCUCUUUCAGUCGAGAAGAAAAGGUUGUGACUAAUAAUCACAACUCAUGACGGUAUCGACAGAAGAAGCAUCGGCUAACUACGUGCCAGCAGCCGCGGUAAUACGUAGGGUGCGAGCGUUAAUCGGAAUUACUGGGCGUAAAGGGUGCGCAGGCGGCUUUGUAAGUCAGAUGUGAAAUCCCCGGGCUUAACCUGGGAA
RNAcentral lists this ribosomal RNA (441 nucleotides) under uncultured ammonia-oxidizing beta proteobacterium. RNAcentral's name for it is "bacterial SSU rRNA". It matches the Rfam family "Bacterial small subunit ribosomal RNA", at positions 198 to 620 of the family's 1533-position model. The record is from RNAcentral. Lineage: Bacteria; Pseudomonadati; Pseudomonadota; Betaproteobacteria.